UCGACAAGGAAAUGUAGUUAUUUCUGAGACGUACAUUUCAAAGGAAGUUCUUACAUACCAAGAGCAGGCAGCCAGACGUCGGAAGUUAGGAAGGGUGACCCAGAUCCAGGGACCAGCAUGAAAGCCCACAGCCACGGGACAGCCUGAGUGAGCGAGCACCUCGGACGCCCCAGGUCAGAGCUGGAGACGGAAGCAGGGCUGACUCCGGAGGACCCGCUGCAGGUUCACACCCCACCCUGUGGAACCCAGGUUCUCAAGGUAUCCUUGGGCCAGAGCAGCGGCAUCACCUGGGAACAAAUGAGAAAUACAAAUUCUCGGGCCGCGCCCAAGACCCGCUGAACCGGAAACUGGGGGUGGGGUCCAGCAUCUGUGUUUCAAUGAGCUCUCUGAUUCUGAAGCAAGCUAAGGUUUGAAAACCACGGAGGCAGAGGAUGAGAAGAAGGAUUUAAGCUGGCAUUGGGAGCAGACGACUGUUGGCAAGAUAAAAAAAGAAUUGUGUAGUGAUGAGAGGGGGCCAAACAGACUGCCCCACCCCCAUCCCGGGCCCUCUAGGAUCUAAACCACGCUCCCUGAAGCAGUGGUUUCAGAGAACCCUGGUCUAGUCCCAAUUCCACUCCUCCCUGGGGCAUGAGUCACUUCCUGCUGGUCUGGCCCCAUUCGUCCUGGAGAAAGACGACGCCCAGGAGAAGCGGUAGUGAGGUCACCCAGCCCUAGAGAGGCCACCUUCCAGCUUCCUAUAAGCUGAGCAACCUCCUCCAAGGCUGUAUUUUAAGGGGAAACAAUAACUGCAGCAAGGACCUUGCAUCACCAGGAGAACUGGUCUCCACACAGCCUGUAUGCUGGUGGAACUGCCCAGGGCCUGGCAGGACUAGAGCAGGGUCAGUUAAGGACACUGCCAGGUGACUGUAGCGUCGCUCUGUUUGUAACGAGACUGACGCAUGCAGCGUCACCAUGCAGGCACUAAAUUGGUUGGGGAAUGAAUGGCUUUUCUUGGAAAGGCAGUAACUCACUCUGGAUGCUACUGAAAUUAGAAAACAAAACCCAAAAUCGAACCUGCAGCCUUCCCUACAGACAAUGUCUUGGCCCUUGAACUUCUACAACCCGCAAAGGUGCCAGGUUCCACCAAUGCCCUUUUUCCCCAUCAAUCAGAUCCCUAAGGUCCACCGAUUAUUGCUUUGACUUUCUGAUUUAUGGCUGAAACUCUGUGAAGGUCCACAAACCUUCGGAAGUAACUAGUUAGUGCCCUAGUGGUCAUUUACACCUAGCUGUGGGCUACAGAAUCUGUCUUCGUGUAAGGAUUUCUGGGAGUCAGAGCGCUGGGGUGCUGGGCCUUGGGGUGGAAGCAUAGAAGAGAAAUGGGCUGGGAAACAGCCCAGAUACAUGGCCUGGGAGAUCCAGCAUCUGCUGUUUAGUUCCUGUGAACCCUAAUCCCCUCCUGAUCAGACCCAUCCCUGGUCCUCUCAGCUGUCUCCUUGCUGAGUCCUCCCAAAUGCCCCACAGGACACUUCCAUUUCUCCAGCCCAUCUUGGAAAAAGUCUUCUGGUUAAAUGCUCAAUCUCCUGAGACCACAGAGAUCAUAUGGGGAAUAACUCAUCUCUAACAAAUUAGAACGUACUAACAAGAACAAAUAGGGCUGUCCAGUUGUGUGUUGGGGAGAGAGUGUGGGGAGAGCUAGCCGGACCCAGGAGGGGAAGAUACAGUGUUUCUUCAUGUCGCUGAGAUGCAGAAGAGUUUUCAUUGACAGCCUGGCCUCUUUUUGUGAAUUUUCUCACGAAACAUUUCUGGCCCAAGACCUUAAGGCCAUGUUAUGUGUUUCCCUGAGGUUAGUCACUUAUCACAAAGGCUCCUAUGGGACAAAAGGAUGCAGAGUGGGAUGGCAGAAUGUGGACACAGAGGCCUGCGGUAGUUCGGGAAACAGGGUGGGUUUUGUUCUCGUUGGCAGGCAGGCCAGGGACACCUUGUGGACUGAGGGUGAGAGGCUCAUAUCCAGCCAGAACACCGCGUAGAGUGAGUGAAUAAGGGGGAGUGUUCAUUGGGAAGCCUGGAUACGGGUGAGACGCACGCAGUGUGCCACUGGGUAGGACAUACCAGCCAUUUACAUUUGCCAGAAACACUAGAGAGAACCAUGUCCCAAUACCAGCUGGUUCCUGCCAUUCUCAGGAGCAGGGAGGAGCUGGUACCUCUGGACCCCUGAGCUGACACGUCUCCAGAGUCAGGGUCCCACUCCAUGAGAACGUUCAGUUGAGUGAAAAGGAACAACAGGCCUCAUUUCCCAGAUGCCUAAUGGGGUGCCUGACCAGGGCACUGGAAAACAUGGUUGUGUGAGGCUAGUAUGGCUCCCCAACUCUUGCCUCCUCUGCCGUCCCAGGCCCCCUCCUCAAAGCUAGAAGAGGGUCUUGUCUAUCGCAACACCUGGGUGGCUAGCAGGGCAGCUGGCCCACCGCAUGUGCUCCAUACAUGCUGAAAUAAAUGGCAGAGCAGAGAUCACUUAACUUCCAUGAGCGCAUGGGGUUUGAAAAACCAAGAUGCUCCAGUGGAGGAAGACUCCGCCAUCUCUUCUUUUCAUGUACAAGUUUAGGUCCUUUAUAAAUGCAGGUGGUGGAGGAUGGAAGUGCAUCCUCCUGCAUCUGAAGGGCAACAGUGGAAAGAGAAGAGAGUGGGGUUGUUUGGAGAGGGACCCCCUCCCAGCUAUAACCUGUAACAGGAGCCCCUAGGCGAGGAGCAGGGGUAGGUGGGCCUCCACGAGACCACUUACUCCUCCCCAAAGUCAGGGGCAGCAUCCGAGGAGAGAAAGCCGUACUGUGUUAAUGCCCCCAGCCCUGUGCUGCUCUCCAGGCCCUUUUAUCAGAUUCGCUGUAGAGGAGAUUCAUCAAGAUGAAGCUCAAUCCCCAAGAGACUAAUGAAAAGAGGGCAACAGACAUGAGAAGGGCCGAAAUGCAGACGGUGUGUGUUAAUCACAGGCAAGAGAAACACGUCGCCUCUAAUGUCUGUUUGCUUUUAUCUUGAAAUGAAAAUGCAUCUCUGCUGCCAAGACCCUUUUCCCUGAGCAUUUCAGUACAGAAAUGGGACGCACACACAUACACACACAUAUGCCCACACAAACAAAAUUGGAGGGUUCUUUUCCCCAGUGGAAAGAGCUAUCAGAGAAAUGAGCCCACAGGUUGUGUCUAUUUGCAGAAGCAGAAAAUCGACCGCAAGUCUCAGCUACAGGCUCCAGCCCCCAUGUAGAAAAGGGAGUGAAAAGCAUGACGAGGCAUCAGCCCUUGGGAAGAGUUCAUUAACAGCUCUGUGAUGGGGGCCUCCACCUGUGCCUGGGGGUCACAGGUGUGACUAUCACGUGCACAUCCACCCCUGGAGACAAAAGUACAUCCGUCCUGGUGCAUAUGGAAUGCAAGGAUCUGGAGCCCCUACCCCAGCCCCCCAGCUCCCUUACACGGCUGCAGAGGAGCCUCUGGCAGCUGGGAUUCUGGAGAGGUCAUGCCCAUCUUUACCAGUCAGUUUCAAGGGGUGGAAAUAAAGCAGAAGCAUUUUGGAGGUCGGUAAGCUAGACCAGUAGCCAGGGCUGAUCACCCAAAAAAGCAAGAGAAGAGAUUGAGGGGAAAGGUGACUCAGAGUUGGAGAGGGAACAGGUGAGGCUGUGCAGGAGUGACAGCAACAGGGACACCCCUCACCGGGGAAGCCAGAGGAUUGCUCUGGAUUGAAAGCCAUAUCCAGAUUUCAGCCAAGUAGGGGUGAGUCUGGCCAUAUGACCACAGAGGCAGUCAAAUCAAUUGCUUCCAAAGUCAGAGCUGUUUGAAGGUGAUUUCAGUUCUUUGUUGAGCUAGUCAUGAUGGAUCAAUCCAGCUGAUUGCUUCCAGCCUGACCUCAGUGCUUCCAGAACCGGUUGUUGGUGGACUGAGCUGGACAGGCUCGGAAUGAGAUUGAAGAAAACCAGUUGGUGAGUCUAGAAAAGAAAUUGCGUGUAGAAAUCAGUUGUUUUCAAAGAAAUCUGUAGGGAUUAGAGUGGGUCUGCUGUGUUAUUGGCAUGGACAUUAUGUCAGUAAGGUAAGAGCCAGAAUGAUUUUGUGGGGCAUUCAUUUGGAAAAUUAAUAUAUUAAAUGUAAAUUCUCAGAGACAAGUAGCUAAGGACAGCUAAAUAUAUGUGUCAUAUACAUAUCUAUAAUGCAGAAAUAAGUGAAGUAUAGAAUGAAGAUGUCGAUGGUUCACAUUUUAAAUUCCUUAGAAGCCCUGGUUUGGAUGUUAGACUUUUUCUUAUUGUUGUUUACUUCUAGCUCUCAAAGCACUGGAACAGUGCCUGGCACAUAGUAGGAGUUUGCUAAGCGUUUAGAAAUUGAUGGUCCAGCUCGUCACCACUCAGUAGACACUCAGUAGUGUCACUAUACCCCAAGUUAAAUGAGCUGCAGAGAAGCGGGUCGGCGACAUCCUCCUCGUAGACCAUCACAACUGGCUGCAGAGAAGCCUUUGUGGAUUCCCAGAUUCGGUGCUGUGUUCAGCCAGCUGCAUGUCUUGGGUCUGGCUCUCUGGUAGUGAUCAGUGAUGGGAUGUUACAUUAAGUGAGCUGAUCCCACUUAAACCAAAUCUGCAUAACUUCCAGCAAGCUAUUUCUACAGGGAACGGGGCUGGGGGCUCCCCUCUUACUGCCUCUGCCAUUUCCUAAAUACUCAAUGAUAUUCUGUUGAAUUUUGCCAACUUCAGUUCUGGAACUAAAUGUAAAGGUUCUGGGCUCAGCCAGUCUGAAAGGUCUAGAAAUUCCUUCUCUCUGCCCUUCCCUUCUCCCUCAUCUGGAGAUGCCACCACCAUUUAGAUGCCUUGGAUGGCUGUUUCUUCCCAGCUGCCCAACCACAGUGUGUGGGGAAAAGGUCCGGUGAGCUUUCUCUCCUUGGAACCUCUGUGGUGUCGACACUACAGACAGAGGAAAGACCAGUAGCAUCAUUUUAUAGAAUCACCUUAGAUCACUGUUACAGUCUGGGCAGUUCCUGCCAGUGUGGCCAGAAUGCCUCUCGCUGUGGCCGUCUGCAUCUCCGUGGCUGGGCCAGUGUGUACCUGACACGUGUCAGACUUCUGAGAUCUUCCAGCUGCCUCAGAGUGAAUUCUUUCCGUUUACAAAAUGUGUUUAUUUGCUAAAUAUACUAUUGUGUGUGUAUGAGUGUCAUACAAGGCAAACUCUGGACUAUCUAGUUAGAAGGAUGUUGUGUGUUUAUAGCAUCUUGAAUCUAAUUUCAGGAGAGCACACUAUCAACUUGCCCAAUGAACGAGGUUGCCCAGUCACAGAAGAUCAGAGAAAAUGCCCUUUCACACCCCUCCCCUCUCUCAGCACCCCUCCCCUGCCUAACUGAGCUGUCUUAUCCACUCCAGGCUGACACAGAGUGAGGGGCACCGAGAAUCGGUAUGUAUAUAAAGAUAUAGGAAGAAAUAAGUACCACCACAGGAAUCUGCUGGGCUUCUUCCCAUGACUGUGAUCUUACCCAUGUUUGAAUCACAAACUUUAAAUUUCUAACAAUUCAGAUUCUUGCCAUUUCCAAGUAAUUUGUUAAAUGCCUAUUCAACACAUAGACAGAUAUUUAUUUUCAACCUUGGCUUGUAAAUGUCUACAAACUGAUUCAUGUUGGUGGUCAUUACGACACUUUCUGUGAAUUGGUGAAUAAAUAUGAUUUUCGAAUUUCACAGU
Molecule: long non-coding RNA, 5668 nt
Organism: Phocoena sinus (vaquita)
Lineage: Eukaryota; Metazoa; Chordata; Mammalia; Artiodactyla; Phocoenidae
Source: Ensembl